This 94-nucleotide small RNA is filed under the name Staphylococcus xylosus. Its description in RNAcentral is "Staphylococcus sRNA sau-13". It matches the Rfam family "Staphylococcus sRNA sau-13". Lineage: Bacteria; Bacillati; Bacillota; Bacilli; Caryophanales; Staphylococcaceae. The record is from RNAcentral.
CCGUUACAUCAUUUGGGUGACCUGCUUUAUCUAUAGAUGCACCUUCUACCAUUAAGAAGAAACCUUUAUCAUUUUCUUGUAAUUUAUUUACUGC